RNAcentral lists this ribosomal RNA (428 nucleotides) under uncultured bacterium. RNAcentral describes it as "bacterial SSU rRNA". It matches the Rfam family "Bacterial small subunit ribosomal RNA", at positions 355 to 774 of the family's 1533-position model. The record is from RNAcentral. RNAcentral also lists the same sequence under 1 other name.
UGGGGAAUCUUGCGCAAUGGGCGAAAGCCUGACGCAGCAACGCCGCGUGUGUGAUGAAGGUCUUCGGAUCGUAAAGCACUGUCGCGAGGGACGAAUAAGCCUUUGGCUAACAUCCAGGGGCGAUGACGGUACCUCGAAAGGAAGCACCGGCUAACUCUGUGCCAGCAGCCGCGGUAAUACAGAGGGUGCGAGCGUUGUUCGGAAUUAUUGGGCGUAAAGCGCGUGUAGGCGGCUUAGUAAGUUGGGUGUGAAAGCCCUCGGCUUAACCGAGGAAGUGCGCCCAAAACUGCUUGGCUUGAGUACCGGAGAGGGUGGCGGAAUUCCCGGUGUAGAGGUGAAAUUCGUAGAUAUCGGGAGGAACACCAGCGGCGAAGGCGGCCACCUGGACGGAUACUGACGCUGAGACGCGAAAGCGUGGGGAGCAAACA